UACAGAGGUGGCAAGCGUUGUUCGGAAUUACUGGGCGUAAAGGGCGCGUAGGCGGCCUUCUAAGUCAGACGUGAAAUCCCCCGGCUUAACCUGGGAACUGCGUCUGAUACUGGGAGGCUUGAGUAUGGGAGAGGGAUGUAGAAUUCCAGGUGUAGCGGUGAAAUGCGUAGAUAUCUGGAGGAAUACCGGUGGCGAAGGCGGGUCUCUGGGCAGUAACUGACGCUGAGGAGCGAAAGCGUGGGGAGCGAACAGG
This 253-nucleotide ribosomal RNA is filed under the name uncultured bacterium. RNAcentral describes it as "partial 16S ribosomal RNA". It matches the Rfam family "Bacterial small subunit ribosomal RNA", at positions 524 to 776 of the family's 1533-position model. The record is from RNAcentral.